Molecule: long non-coding RNA, 759 nt
Filed under: Marmota monax (woodchuck)
Lineage: Eukaryota; Metazoa; Chordata; Mammalia; Rodentia; Sciuridae
Source: RNAcentral
GUGGUUUCUGUUGAGAAUUCUUUGGCCAAUGGGAGAAGAGAAUCUAGAAGUCUUUCUGUCAAAAAUCACAGAUGUACAAAGGUGAAUGAAUCAGUUACAGGUGCAGCUGUGGAUCACCGAUGCUCCAAAGAGCAGCAGCCUAAACCAGACUGGGUUCCUUUUGGUAAGAGUCUGGGCUGGAUGCUUUGAUGGGCCAUUCAGUCACCAGGCAAGUGGUUUCUAUGGAAAAAUAGUUAUUUUGAAAAUGUAGAAGGUCCCUAACCCACUGCUUCCAGUCAGUUCCACGCACAAGAAAUCACAGCCCAGGGGUCCCAGAUAGUUACUCUGUACACCACCCAGGAAAAUGCUGCUUGUUCAGCUCAACUGCCGACUGCUGACCUCAGAGACGUGAAAAUGUGAAGUGAUUUGCAUCUUAGAGUCAAUGAGAUGCAAAAGGCCUAAGCCUAAGAAUUCCAGUCUUUAUGUACUGACCUCGUGCUCUGCCUGUCCCAGGCCUUCAAGGCCACCUUACCUAGUGGUGGCUUUUUUGAGUCAGUCUGGAGUGAUGGGCUGGGAUGGGAGACGAGUCCUUAUGUGGCCUUGGCUGUAACCUGAUCUGUGAGGCUUUCUGCCCAGAAUGCCUGGGAGGUUCUGGAGAAGGCCCUGGGCCGCACUUGCAUCUGGUGCAACCCCGACUGCUCCCCCAAACCAGAGUUUUUGUUUUUGUUUUUUUGGUACUGGAGAUUGAACCCAGAGGCACUAUCCCACUGAGCUACAUCC